Molecule: non-coding RNA, 46 nt
Organism: Mus musculus (house mouse)
Lineage: Eukaryota; Metazoa; Chordata; Mammalia; Rodentia; Muridae
Source: Rfam
ACAAAGGCUCUUUUCAGAGCCAUUCACUUAAUUCAGUAAAGUGCUG